Molecule: long non-coding RNA, 1049 nt
Organism: Phodopus roborovskii (desert hamster)
Lineage: Eukaryota; Metazoa; Chordata; Mammalia; Rodentia; Cricetidae
Exons: 2
Source: RefSeq, a predicted model, not a curated record
UUCCCUGUUUACCCAACGUGGGCUUUGUGAUUGGCUGACUGUGAUGAUGGAGGUGGAGAGUAGGCUGCUGAUGGAGUUACAGCAUCCCUUAGCCUCAGGUCCCUGAGAGGGCGAGGGAACAGGAAGGGGGAGGGAAUAGGAGCCAUUUCUCUGCGCUGACCGACCUCCACGCUUGCAGCUCUCAUUUCCCCGGAAUCCAGGCGACUCCCCUGCUUAGUAUUUCACCAUGCUGGAUAUUUUCAUCCUCAUGUUCUUUGCCAUCAUAGGCCUGGUGGUUCUGUCCUACAUUAUCUAUCUGCUCUAGCGGCCUGGAGCUGCAGGGGCUGCGAGGGGAAGAAGGAUGGAGCUGAAGCACCAAGCAUCCUCCUUGCUGACGCACCGGUGGAUUUUUGCUUCUGGUCAUUAUUCGGCUCCGGUGUUCCGUCCAGAAGGAGGGCUCUGCCCAAUAGCAGGAGUCCUGAGGUCCAACUGACUUCUUCCAAUGUGUCGGGAUGUGGCUAACCCUUGGCAAGCAGGGACUCUGUGAGGACAUCAGGAGUUCAAGGAUACCACUGGCAGCUGCUGCAUGUGUUUAAGUUGUAGACAGGCUGUAUUGGAAAUGUGGAAGGUUGAAUUGUAGAAACCGCAAAGUCACAGCGGAGAACUGCCAAGGUAUUCAUAUGGGCAGCCUUUUCUUAGGUUUACAUGCAACUGUAGACAAUGCCAAACUUUUCUUUCCUUUCUGUUUCACAAGCAGGCGUUCCCUUGUAAACUCAGGGGCGAAUUCUGUCUGUCUGUGUCUGUCUUAUCAGUGUCUUUAUUGUGCAGUCUGAGGUUAUGUGGUUUCCCUUGAUUGCUGGCCUCCCCACCCCCCAAAAACCUGUCAUUUGCAUUUUUUAAGAUUUCCCAUUUCUUUCCUCCUCGUCCCAUUUGUCCCCAGCUUCUAUCUGAUGAGAUACAUGGCUGUGAAGUCCUUAUUCUUUGUGACUACCUAUAAAGCAUUGAAACAAAAUGUCUAUAUUAAUUUAGCAAAAUAAACUUUACCCCUAAGGGAGGGGCUUUAAAACUUU